This is a long non-coding RNA of Ochlerotatus camptorhynchus, 317 nucleotides long. RefSeq lists it as uncharacterized. The transcript is spliced from 2 exons. The record is from RefSeq and is a predicted model, not a curated record. NCBI's taxonomy places the organism in Eukaryota, Metazoa, Arthropoda, Insecta, Diptera, Culicidae.
UGCAAGAGGGUGUCUUCUUGCUCCUUCGGUGGUCAUCAAUGGAGUUCUCCGAUUCAACAAGGAUGCGUUAGUCACCACACCACCUAUACAUGCCGACUGAAACGGAACCCAUUUUUGUGCUGUCCCAAUCAUCUCUAUUUUAUUCCCACAACAACACAGCAAAUUGAAUCUCAAAUCAAUGGCUGCUAUUGAAUCAAACAUGAAUCUAGUUUGAGUCUUUUAAAUGUAUUAAUAAUUUAUUGUCCAUUUUGUAGUAGACUAAGCUGAUCUUUUGAGCAGUAAGAUGAUUUUAUAUAAUAAAUAUCAAUAAAUCCAAC